GCGCACCAGUCGCGAAUACUGGCCAAUGCGCGAAAGCGUGAGCCGGCUAAUCUGAGUGGUUCCCCAUCGGGAACCUUUUGCCAAGUGUACAAAGCUUGGCGAAUAAGGAGAGGGCAAGACUGGUGCCAGCCGCCGCGGUAAAACCAGCUCUUCGAAUCGUGGGCAUGAUUAUUUGGCUUAAAGUGUGCGUAGCAGGACAGGAUAAGUCUCCUGUGAAAUGCCAGGUCUUAAGCCUGGCGCGUGCGGGAGAUACUAUCCGUCUUGGGGACCGGGAUAGGUAUGAUGUACACAAUGGGGUAGGGGUGAAAUCCGAUAAUCCAUUGUGGACAACCGGUGGCGAAGGCGUCAUACGUGGGAACGGGUCCGACUGUGAGGCACGAAAGCUAGGGGUCGCGAGCCGGAUUAGACUACCCCCGUAGU
This 420-nucleotide ribosomal RNA is filed under the name uncultured microorganism. Its description in RNAcentral is "bacterial SSU rRNA". It matches the Rfam family "Archaeal small subunit ribosomal RNA", at positions 330 to 745 of the family's 1478-position model. The record is from RNAcentral.